RNAcentral lists this ribosomal RNA (301 nucleotides) under uncultured bacterium. Its description in RNAcentral is "partial 16S ribosomal RNA". It matches the Rfam family "Bacterial small subunit ribosomal RNA", at positions 509 to 809 of the family's 1533-position model. The record is from RNAcentral.
CAGUAGCCGCGGUAACACGUAGGUGGCGAGCGUUGUCCGGAAUUAUUGGGCGUAAAGGGAGCGCAGGCGGACAUAUAAGUCCAUCUUAAAAGUGCGGGGCUCAACCCCGUGAGGGGAUGGAAACUGUAUGCCUUGAGUGCAGGAGAGGGAAGCGGAAUUCCCAGUGUAGCGGUGAAAUGCGUAGAUAUUGGGAGGAACACCAGUGGCGAAGACGGCUUUCUGGGCUGCAACUGACGCUGAGGCUCGAAAGCCAGGGGAGCGAACGGGAUUAGAUACCCCAGUAGUCCCUGUCUCUUAUACA